GUGCACACACACACACAGUGUGCACACAGACACACAGUGUGCACACAGACACACAGGGCACACACACACAGUGUGCACACACACACACAGUGUGCACACAGACACACAGGGCACACACACACAGUGUGCACACACACAGUGCACACACACAGAGCCAGCACACACACACACACACACAGUGCACACACACACACAGUGUGCACACACACAGAGCCAGCACACACACAGCACCGGUGGGACACACAGGGUGGCACAUGCAGGACUUGCCCCCCUCCCCUCGCCAUCCCUGGGACCCCCACCGCCCGCUCCCUGGGCGAUCCCUGCUCUCCCCUUCCCACCUGGAGCUCCCUGUGCAUCCUGACCCGCACCAGUUUUAUUUUCGUGCUGCAUUGCUGUUGACAUGGAAACCAAUACCACUUUCUGUUCCAGAGAAUUGGAAGCUAAAGCUACCAAAGAAGUCGAAAGAAAACUAAGCAGGGCUUUCCUGCCUCAUUUAUGUGGAACUGAGAGAAGGGAUUUAGUGCAAGAAGAGGAAGAACAGUUGAUGGAAGAAAGGAAAAAGAGAAAAGAAGACAAGAAGAAGAAGGAAGCUGCUCAAAAAAAGGUAUGUGGAGCACUGAGAAUAAACUCCCGUGCUUGGAGCUGACUUGUUUCAUCACUAGUAUUUUCUUAUUAAUUUAAUGUUUUAAAUUUAAACGUACUGUCAGUUAUUUAGAGGUAACUGACAUAUUGAACAUUGUACUCUGUGUAGUUUCUUACAAAACUAAAUUUUCUUCUGAGAAUGAUCCUUCUUUUUCCUGAUCAUCUGUUGAGGCAGUCUCAGGUUUGAAGCAUCUCAGUGUUAGUGCAUUUACUAGUAAAAUAAAAGUACCAUUUUAAGGCA
RNAcentral lists this long non-coding RNA (883 nucleotides) under Cyanistes caeruleus (blue tit). RNAcentral describes it as "lncRNA (ENSCCEG00000023182.1)". Lineage: Eukaryota; Metazoa; Chordata; Aves; Passeriformes; Paridae. The record is from RNAcentral.